Molecule: transfer RNA, 77 nt
Filed under: Myroides odoratimimus
Lineage: Bacteria; Pseudomonadati; Bacteroidota; Flavobacteriia; Flavobacteriales; Flavobacteriaceae
Also listed under: 9 other names
Description: tRNA-His
Rfam family: tRNA
About the family: Transfer RNA (tRNA) molecules are approximately 80 nucleotides in length.
Source: RNAcentral
GUAGCUAUAGCUCAGCUGGUUAGAGCGUCGGAUUGUGGUUCCGAAGGUCGUGGGUUCGAAACCCAUUAGUUACCCUA